GAUGAACGCUGGCGGCGUGCUUAACACAUGCAAGUCGAACGGAGUUUGUAUGGAAUGAGUCUUCGGACAAGUGAAAUAUAAACUUAGUGGCGGACGGGUGAGUAACGUGUGGGUAACCUACCCUAUACAGGAGGAUAACAGUAAGAAAUUAUUGCUAAAACUGCAUAAGAUUACGAGUUCGCAUGAACAAGUGAUAAAAACUUUAGUGGUAUAGGAUGGGCCCGCAUCUGAUUAGGUAGUUGGUAGAGUAAAAGCCUACCAAGCCGACGAUCAGUAGCCGAUCUGAGAGGAUGACCGGCCACAUUGGGACUGAGACACGGCCCAAACUCCUACGGGAGGCAGCAGUGGGGAAUAUUGGACAAUGGGGGAAACCCUGAUCCAGCGACGCCGCGUGAGUGAAGAAGUAUUUCGGUAUGUAAAGCUCUAUCAGCAGGGAAGAAAAUGACGUACCUGACUAAGAGCCCC
Molecule: ribosomal RNA, 465 nt
Filed under: Lachnospiraceae bacterium oral taxon B32
Lineage: Bacteria; Bacillati; Bacillota; Clostridia; Lachnospirales; Lachnospiraceae
Description: bacterial SSU rRNA
Rfam family: Bacterial small subunit ribosomal RNA
Source: RNAcentral